Molecule: ribosomal RNA, 512 nt
Filed under: uncultured bacterium
Lineage: Bacteria
Description: bacterial SSU rRNA
Rfam family: Bacterial small subunit ribosomal RNA
Source: RNAcentral
ACUGGCUCAGGAUGAACGCUAGCUACAGGCUUAACACAUGCAAGUCGAGGGGCAGCAUGAAGUUUGCUUGCAAACUUGAUGGCGACCGGCGCACGGGUGAGUAACGCGUAUCCAACCUUCCCUAUAGUAGAGGAUAGCCCGGCGAAAGUCGGAUUAAUACUCUAUGUUUUCCAAUGCAGACAUCUAAAAUGGAACAAAGGUUUACCGCUAUAGGAUGGGGAUGCGUCUGAUUAGGUAGUCGGCGGGGUAACGGCCCACCGAGCCAUCGAUCAGUAGGGGUUCUGAGAGGAAGGUCCCCCACAUUGGAACUGAGACACGGUCCAAACUCCUACGGGAGGCAGCAGUGAGGAAUAUUGGUCAAUGGGCGAGAGCCUGAACCAGCCAAAGUAGCGUGCAGGAUGACGGCCCUAUGGGUUGUAAACUGCUUUUAUGCGGGGAUAAAGUGGGGAACGUGUUCCCUUUUGUAGGUACCGCAUGAAUAAGGACCGGACUAAUUCCGUGCCAGCCGCCGC